GACGAACGCUGGCGGCGUGCUUAACACAUGCAAGUCGAGCGAUGAAGCUCCUUCGGGAGUGGAUUAGCGGCGGACGGGUGAGUAACACGUGGGUAACCUGCCUCAUAGAGGGGAAUAGCCUUUCGAAAGGAAGAUUAAUACCGCAUAAGAUUGUAGCUUCGCAUGAAGCAGCACUUAAAGGAGUAAUCCGCUAUGAGAUGGACCCGCGUCGCAUUAGCUAGUCGGUGAGGUAACGGCUCACCAAGGCGACGAUGCGUAGCCGACCUGAGAGGGUGAUCGGCCGCAUUGGGACUGAGACACGGCCCAGACUCCUACGGGAGGCAGCAGUGGGGAAUAUUGCACAGUGGGGGAAACCCUGAUGCAGCAACGCCGCGUGAGUGAUGACGGUCUUCGGAUUGUAAAGCUCUGUCUUCAGGGACGAUAAUGACGGUACCUGAGGAGGAAGCCACGGCUAACUACGUGCCAGCAGCCGCCGUAA
RNAcentral lists this ribosomal RNA (478 nucleotides) under uncultured bacterium. RNAcentral describes it as "partial 16S ribosomal RNA". It matches the Rfam family "Bacterial small subunit ribosomal RNA", at positions 28 to 523 of the family's 1533-position model. The record is from RNAcentral.